Molecule: ribosomal RNA, 254 nt
Filed under: uncultured bacterium
Lineage: Bacteria
Description: partial 16S ribosomal RNA
Rfam family: Bacterial small subunit ribosomal RNA
Source: RNAcentral
UACGUAGGGGGCAAGCGUUGUCCGGAUUUAUUGGGCGUAAAGAGCUCGUAGGUGGUUCGGUAAGUCGGAUGUGAAAUCUCCAGGCUCAACCUGGAGGGGUCAUUCGAUAGUGCCGUGACUAGAGUUCGGUAGGGGAGUGUGGAAUUCCUGGUGGAGCGGUGAAAUGCGCAGAUAUCAGGAGGAACACCCGUAGCGAAGGCGGCACUCUGGGCCGAUACUGACACUGAGGAGCGAAAGCGUGGGGAGCGAACAGG